Molecule: long non-coding RNA, 163 nt
Organism: Oxyura jamaicensis (ruddy duck)
Lineage: Eukaryota; Metazoa; Chordata; Aves; Anseriformes; Anatidae
Exons: 3
Source: RefSeq, a predicted model, not a curated record
CCUGGUCCCGGGCUGCGGGGGUGUUCAUGGGGGUGUUCACUCACAGCAUCCCCGCAGCCUUCCCCGCACAUCUCCAGUGGGGCUGGCCGCAGCACCCCAUGUCCCUGCUCACCACAGUGCAAACCCAAGGGCAGCCUUUGUGUCAUGCAUCUGCUGCGGGCUG